RNAcentral lists this transfer RNA (57 nucleotides) under Coemansia sp. RSA 720. RNAcentral describes it as "tRNA-Arg". It matches the Rfam family "tRNA", at positions 9 to 63 of the family's 71-position model. From Rfam's summary of the family: Transfer RNA (tRNA) molecules are approximately 80 nucleotides in length. Their secondary structure includes four short double-helical elements and three loops (D, anti-codon, and T loops). Lineage: Eukaryota; Fungi; Kickxellomycota; Kickxellomycetes; Kickxellales; Kickxellaceae. The record is from RNAcentral. RNAcentral also lists the same sequence under 3 other names.
GGCCCAAUGGAUAAGGCGCUUGACUACGGAUCAAGAGAUUCCAGGUUCGAGUCCUGG